GAUGAACGCUGGCGGCGUGCCUAAUACAUGCAAGUCGAGCGAACAGACGAGGAGCUUGCUCCUCUGACGUUAGCGGCGGACGGGUGAGUAACACGUGGAUAACCUACCUAUAAGACUGGGAUAACUUCGGGACACCGGAGCUAAUACCGGAUAAUAUAUUGAACCGUAUUGUUCAAUAGUGAAAUACGGUUUUGCUGUCACUUCUAGAUGGAUCCGCGCCGCAUUAGCUAGUUGGUAAGGUAACGGCUUACCAAGGCAACGAUGCGUAGCCGACCUGAGAGGGUGAUCGGCCGCACUGGAGCGGAGACACGGUCCAGGCGCCUACGGGAGGGAGCAGUAGGGAAUCUGCCGCAAUGGGCGAAAGCCUGACGGAGCAACGCCGCGUGAGUUAUGAAGGUCUUCGGAGCGUAAAACUCUGUUAUGAGUGAAGAACAAAUGUGUAAGUAACUAUGCACGUCUUGACGGUACCUGAUCAGAAAGCCACGGCUAACUACGUG
Molecule: ribosomal RNA, 497 nt
Filed under: uncultured bacterium
Lineage: Bacteria
Description: partial 16S ribosomal RNA
Rfam family: Bacterial small subunit ribosomal RNA
Source: RNAcentral